This 460-nucleotide ribosomal RNA is filed under the name uncultured bacterium. RNAcentral's name for it is "partial 16S ribosomal RNA". It matches the Rfam family "Bacterial small subunit ribosomal RNA", at positions 338 to 795 of the family's 1533-position model. The record is from RNAcentral.
CCUACGGGAGGCAGCAGUGAGGAAUAUUGGUCAAUGAACGAGAGUCUGAACCAGCCAAGUAGCGUGAAGGAUGACUGCCCUAUGGGUUGUAAACUUCUUUUAUAAAGGAAUAAAACGAGGCACGUGUGCCUUUUUGCAUGUACUUUAUGAAUAAGGAUCGGCUAACUCCGUGCCAGCAGCCGCGGUAAUACGGAGGAUCCGAGCGUUAUCCGGAUUUGUUGGGUUUAAAGGGAGCGUAGAUGGGUUGUUAAGUCAGUUGUGAAAGUUUGCGGCUCAACCGUAAAAUUGCAAUUGAUACUGGCAGUCUUGAGUACAGUUGAGGUAGGCGGAAUUCGUGGUGUAGCGGUGAAAUGCUUAGAUAUCACGAAGAACCCCGAUUGCGAAGGCAGCUUACUAAACUGUGACUGACAUUGAUGCUCGAAAGUGUGGGUAUCAAACAGGAUUAGAUACCCGAGUAGUC